AUGGAGAGAAGAAAACCGCACUCAGCUUCCACGGAGAAAAUGGGCCGACCCCAUCCGCCUUCAUCUAGCCACACUGCGGCUACACUGAUUUUCCCAUCCAUUCCAAGGGUUUUUAGCCCCUCGCCCUGCCCCCUGCCGCGCCGCAGCAAUGGCCGCCGCCGCCGCCGCCGCCGCGAGAUCCUUCCUCCGAUCCGGAUCCGCCACCUCCUCCCUCCGCGGCGCGGCCGCCAGGGCCGCCUCCCGCUCCGGGCCGGCAGCCCCCUCGAGGCGGCUCCUCUCCUCUCCUCCCCGCGCCCGCCUCGCCCUAAGGUCGCCGCUGGAGAUGAGCAGCGCCUGCUUGGAGUCGCUGAUGCCCAUGCACAGCGCCACGGCCUCGGCGCUCAUGACGUCGCUCCUCGCCGCCCCGGCUCGCGUCGGUUCCUGCUGGAUCUCCGAAGAUCAUUGAGAUCAGUGAGGAUGGAGGUCACGGAUGAAGAUGCAUGCUAUUUUUUUACCACUCGUAUUUCUUUUGCUUUAUCAAAUGCACAUGGCUGA
RNAcentral lists this ribosomal RNA (534 nucleotides) under Triticum aestivum (bread wheat). RNAcentral's name for it is "partial small subunit ribosomal RNA". Lineage: Eukaryota; Viridiplantae; Streptophyta; Magnoliopsida; Poales; Poaceae. The record is from RNAcentral.